RNAcentral lists this ribosomal RNA (712 nucleotides) under uncultured bacterium. RNAcentral describes it as "bacterial SSU rRNA". It matches the Rfam family "Bacterial small subunit ribosomal RNA", at positions 8 to 699 of the family's 1533-position model. The record is from RNAcentral.
AGAGUUUGAUCCUGGCUCAGGAUGAACGCUAGCGGCAGGCCUAAUACAUGCAAGUCGUGCGAGAAAGGGCUUCGGCCCCAGUAAAGCGGCGCACGGGUGAGUAACACGUAGGUAAUCUUCCCCUGGAGUGGUGGAUAACCCUCCGNAAAGGAGGGCUAAUACAGCAUGAGACCACGAUCUCGCUGAGAUUGCGGUCAAAGCAGGCCUCUUCAUGAAAGCUUGCGCUCUAGGAUGAGCCUGCGGCCCAUCAGCUAGUUGGUAAGGUAACGGCUUACCAAGGCUAAGACGGGUAGCUGGUCUGAGAGGAUGAGCAGCCACACUGGAACUGAAACACGGUCCAGACUCCUACGGGAGGCAGCAGUAGGGAAUCUUGCGCAAUGGACGAAAGUCUGACGCAGCGACGCCGCGUGAGCGAUGAAGGCCUUCGGGUUGUAAAGCUCUGUGGGGAGAGACGAAUAAGGCAUGGCUAACAUCCAUGUCGAUGACGGUAUCUCCUUAGCAAGCACCGGCUAACUCUGUGCCAGCAGCCGCGGUAAGACAGAGGGUGCGAACGUUGUUCGGAAUUACUGGGCGUAAAGCGCGUGUAGGCGGCAAUGCAAGUCGGGCGUGAAAUCCCACGGCUCAACCGUGGAAGUGCACUCGAAACUGCAUAGCUAGAGUCCUGGAGAGGAAGGUGGAAUGCUUGGUGUANAGGUGAAAUUCGUAGAUAUCA